AGCAGCUCCCUUGGUAGGGGCAUGCAGAAGACCUGAUGACACAAACCCUCCAAAGAGUUUCACCCUCACCACAACAGGUGGCUUCCUGCUCGGCAGCCCAUCCUGCAUCACUUCAGUGGACUUCUCUGACAUCUACUAGACCACAUUAAAUGAAUCACAGCCUUGAAACUGAACUGGAAGGACUUCCUUCAAGGAGCCAGCAUAUGAACUUGCUGCCUAUCUUUAGCAAGGAGAUGCAAAUGACAUCCACAAACCUCUUCUGCUGUAUACCUGGAUGAAAGCAAGGCUAGCUGUGUGUCCUAUGGCACCAAGGACUGAAAGAUUGUAAGAAGUAAGAGUGAAUAUUCAGCUUAAACAAAAAAUAGCCUUUCUACCCAGAGACAGCGUGUACCAAAGAAAAUGGCGUCCGCGUGCAGGCCGUCUGCGCGCAGCAGUGGGAAGAGGCGGGCUCCCUGAGGAGACAACAUCCCUGACAGACCUCCCAACAAAGCCCUGCAUAUUUUUCAGUAAAUCAUGUAUAUUU
Molecule: long non-coding RNA, 523 nt
Organism: Homo sapiens (human)
Lineage: Eukaryota; Metazoa; Chordata; Mammalia; Primates; Hominidae
Product: long intergenic non-protein coding RNA 1065
Source: Ensembl